ACAGUGUAUGCUAAAGUUGUUGCGGUUGAAAAGCUCGUAGUUGGAUUUUGGGCGGGCGCAGCCGGUCCGUCGCAGGGCGUGUUACUGGUUGCGCUCGCCUCGCCUUCGGUUCUCCGUCGGUGCUCUUGACUGAGUGUCGGCGGUGGCCGAGAAGUUUACUUUGAAAAAAUUAGAGUGUUCAAAGCAGGCUGUUCGCCUGUAUAGUGUUGCAUGGAAUAAUGGAAUAGGACCUCGGUUCUAUUUUGUUGGUUUUCGGAGCGCGAGGUAAUGAUUAAGAGGGACAGACGGGGGCGUCCGUACUCUGCCGUUAGAGGUGAAAUUCUUGGAUCGGCGGAAGACGAACUACUGCGAAAGCAUUCGCCAAGAAUGUUUUCUUUAAUCAAGAGCGAAAGUCAGAGGUUCGAAGACGAUCAGAUACCGUCCUAGUUCUGACUAUAAACGAUGCCAACUAGCGAUCGGGAGGCGUUACCAUGACGACCUUCCCGGCAGCUUCCGGGAAACCAAAGUCUUUGGGGGAAGUAUGGUUGCAAAGCUGAAACUUAAAGGAAUUGACGGAAGGGCACCACCAGGAGUGGAGCCUGCGGCUUAAUUUGACUCAACACAGGGAAACUCACCCGGCCCGGACACAGGUAGGAUUGACAGAUUGAGAGCUCUUUCUUGAUUCUGUGGGUGGUGGUGCAUGGCCGUUCUUAGUUGGUGGAGCGAUUUGUCUGGUUAAUUCCGAUAACGAACGAGACUCUGGCAUGCUAA
This 750-nucleotide ribosomal RNA is filed under the name uncultured metazoan. RNAcentral describes it as "SSU rRNA". It matches the Rfam family "Eukaryotic small subunit ribosomal RNA", at positions 594 to 1354 of the family's 1831-position model. The record is from RNAcentral. Lineage: Eukaryota; Metazoa.